Eucalyptus grandis is the source of this 400-nucleotide long non-coding RNA. RefSeq lists it as uncharacterized. NCBI's taxonomy places the organism in Eukaryota, Viridiplantae, Streptophyta, Magnoliopsida, Myrtales, Myrtaceae. The record is from RefSeq and is a predicted model, not a curated record. The transcript is spliced from 3 exons.
UCCCCGCCCCACAGCUCGACCUCGCUCGUGCGUAGCUACUGUUCACCGAGCGUGUCCAAGUGAAGUGCUCGCUGGCUCCCUCCCUCCCUCGCUCCGCGAAGUUCCCGUUCUCUUCCUCCUCCUCCGCCUCCUCCUGCUCGGCCUUUCUCUUUUUCAACGCUCCGUACGGUCUAUUUAAUACGCAAGAUUCUCAGUGCCCGUUUUUUCAAUUGCAGAGGCAUUGAGGGUGAAGGCAUGAGAGCGAGGCUGGGCGGCAGCCUCGCGCCUCGGCGUGUUCUGCUAGCGAUUCUUUGUGAAAAAGCUGUUAAAACCAAAAGGAUAGGGACGAAUUUUAGCAGAAGGUAUCUCAGCAACAAAGCGUGUGGAAGCAGAAGGUGACAUGGGAACGAAAUGUUUGACU